CGGGUGAGUAAUGCCUAGGAAAUUGCCCUGAUGUGGGGGAUAACCAUUGGAAACGAUGGCUAAUACCGCAUAAUGCCUACGGGCCAAAGAGGGGGACCUUCGGGCCUCUCGCGUCAGGAUAUGCCUAGGUGGGAUUAGCUAGUUGGUGAGGUAAUGGCUCACCAAGGCGACGAUCCCUAGCUGGUCUGAGAGGAUGAUCAGCCACACUGGAACUGAGACACGGUCCAGACUCCUACGGGAGGCAGCAGUGGGGAAUAUUGCACAAUGGGCGCAAGCCUGAUGCAGCCAUGCCGCGUGUGUGAAGAAGGCCUUCGGGUUGUAAAGCACUUUCAGUCGUGAGGAAGGUGGUGUAGUUAAUAGCUGCAUUAUUUGACGUUAGCGACAGAAGAAGCACCGGCUAACUCCGUGCCAGCAGCCGCGGUAAUACGGAGGGUGCGAGCGUUAAUCGGAAUUACUGGGCGUAAAGCGCAUGCAGGUGGUUUGUUAAGUCAGAUGUGAAAGCCCGGGGCUCAACCUCGGAAUAGCAUUUGAAACUGGCAGACUAGAGUACUGUAGAGGGGGGUAGAAUUUCAGGUGUAGCGGUGAAAUGCGUAGAGAUCUGAAGGAAUACCGGUGGCGAAGGCGGCCCCCUGGACAGAUACUGACACUCAGAUGCGAAAGCGUGGGGAGCAAACAGGAUUAGAUACCCUGGUAGUCCACGCCGUAAACGAUGUCUACUUGGAGGUUGUGGCCUUGAGCCGUGGCUUUCGGAGCUAACGCGUUAAGUAGACCGCCUGGGGAGUACGGUCGCAAGAUUAAAACUCAAAUGAAUUGACGGGGGCCCGCACAAGCGGUGGAGCAUGUGGUUUAAUUCGAUGCAACGCGAAGAACCUUACCUACUCUUGACAUCCAGAGAACUUUCCAGAGAUGGAUUGGUGCCUUCGGGAACUCUGAGACAGGUGCUGCAUGGCUGUCGUCAGCUCGUGUUGUGAAAUGUUGGGUUAAGUCCCGCAACGAGCGCAACCCUUAUCCUUGUUUGCCAGCGAGUAAUGUCGGGAACUCCAGGGAGACUGCCGGUGAUAAACCGGAGGAAGGUGGGGACGACGUCAAGUCAUCAUGGCCCUUACGAGUAGGGCUACACACGUGCUACAAUGGCGCAUACAGAGGGCAGCAAGCUAGCGAUAGUGAGCGAAUCCCAAAAAGUGCGUCGUAGUCCGGAUUGGAGUCUGCAACUCGACUCCAUGAAGUCGGAAUCGCUAGUAAUCGUGGAUCAGAAUGCCACGGUGAAUACGUUCCCGGGCCUUGUACACACCGCCCGUCACACCAUGGGAGUGGGCUGCAAAAGAAGUAGGUAGUUAA
Molecule: ribosomal RNA, 1338 nt
Filed under: Vibrio owensii
Lineage: Bacteria; Pseudomonadati; Pseudomonadota; Gammaproteobacteria; Vibrionales; Vibrionaceae
Description: bacterial SSU rRNA
Rfam family: Bacterial small subunit ribosomal RNA
Source: RNAcentral